AUGAAGGUGAAAUGGAAGAAAAGGUCAGAAAUGAAACAAGAGGGUCUAAAGUCAAGAUAUGGGAGAAGAGAAAAGGUACUUCAAGCUAGUCAGUUUGUUCAUAUUUUCCAGAAGUGUAUAGUCUUCACUGGUGGCUCUCAGCUCACCUGUCAGGUACGUGGCCAUUUUGGAGAACAUGUUCUGGCACAGCCCUGUAACAGCUUCCUUGGCCAUCUCUACCAUGGCAUCAUCUAGGCCUGGGAAGGGAGGAAGGAGAAAAGAUGGAGGGAAGGAUGGGCAUGGGGGAGGAGGGGGAGAGGAAGAGGAAGAGAAAGGGAGAGGAUAGGAGGAAAAGGGAGAGGAGGGGAAGGAAGGGAAGAAAAAAGGAAGGAGGAAUAGAUCAUUUUUAUGAGAGCAGUUGGACAAGGGACCUUUGACUCACCACCCCCCCAGCCCAGUUAAUGAAAUUAGAGAAGAUAUUGGGGCAAGUAAGAGAGAUAACAAGGUAUUAGGAUCUUAAAUGAAGUAUUAAAAAAGCUUAUACUUUGUUACCCCUUUAUGAAAUGGAAAGAUGUUUUCUGAUCAAAAUGGAUUAAAUUAGAGUGAUUGGUUAUACUUGGUGGAUCUUUUAAAAAGUGGAACAGACUCUAUAGGGAUCCAGGUGAGUUAAUGUAGGAGAGAACCCAGAAGACUCAAGAAGAGAGCCAGCCAUUGAGAAGGAGUUAUUCCUCACCUCUUACAUGAGGGGAGGAGAUUUUAUUCUCUUUCCUUCCACCCACUUUUGUCUAUGGUGUUUCUCUUGCAGUAGACUUUCUUGAAGGAGACACUACACCCAGCAUGGAGCAGGCCCAAUGAGUCAAGGCGCAAGAACAGUGAAGCUUUGGGACUUGAAGUAGGACAUAGCUCUGGGAGGAAUACCUAUGAGUUGAAAAGUGAGCUAGCCCUGCCUAUUUUGCUGAUGAGAAAUUGAAGCAAACAAUGGUUAAGUGACUUACCCAGGCUCACACAGCUAGUAAGUGAGGCUGGAUUUGAACUCAUAAGGAUGUGUCCUCCUGAUUCCAGGCCUAGCGCCUAUCUACCACCUAGCUGUGCAUAAAUGAACUGGAGAAGGAAAUGGCACACCACUCAGUAUCUUUGCCAAGAAAACCCCAAGACAGAUAUAUUUCUUUUUUUUAUUUUUUUUUUCCAUAUGCUUUUGAGUUGAAAAUUUUUCUCCCUUUUCCUCCCCCCCACCCUCCCCAAGACGGCGCACAAUCUGAUAUAGGCUUUACAUUUACAUAUCCAUUAAACAUAUUUUAACAUCAGUGAAGUUGUAAGUACAAAUAAAACCAAUGGGAGGAACCA
RNAcentral lists this long non-coding RNA (1323 nucleotides) under Phascolarctos cinereus (koala). Its description in RNAcentral is "lncRNA (ENSPCIG00000031843.1)". The record is from RNAcentral. Lineage: Eukaryota; Metazoa; Chordata; Mammalia; Diprotodontia; Phascolarctidae.